GAUUAUGGCUCAGGAUGAACGCUAGCGGCAGGCUUAACACAUGCAAGUCGAGGGGCAGCGGGAUGUAGCAAUACAUUGCCGGCGACCGGCGGAUGGGUGCGUAACGCGUAUGCAGCCUACCUUAUACAGGGGAAUAACCUUUCGAAAGGGAGACUAACACCCCAUGGUAUUGAUUUAAGGCAUCUUAGAUUAAUUAAAUAUUUAUAGGUAUAAGAUGGGCAUGCGUAUGAUUAGCUAGUUGGUAAGGUAACGGCUUACCAAGGCGACGAUCAUUAGGGGUUCUGAGAGGAAGGUCCCCCACACUGGUACUGAGACACGGACCAGACUCCUACGGGAGGCAGCAGUGAGGAAUAUUGGUCAAUGGGCGCAAGCCUGAACCAGCCAUGCCGCGUGCAAGGAAGACGGCCUUAUGGGUUGUAAACUGCUUUUACAUAAGACUAACCGUAUAUUUGCGAAUAUACCUGAAUGUAUUAUGAGAAUAAGGAUCGGCUAACUCCGUGCCAGCCGCCGC
This 511-nucleotide ribosomal RNA is filed under the name uncultured bacterium. Its description in RNAcentral is "bacterial SSU rRNA". It matches the Rfam family "Bacterial small subunit ribosomal RNA", at positions 15 to 518 of the family's 1533-position model. The record is from RNAcentral.